GGAGGGUGCAAGCGUUGUCCGGAAUCACUGGGUGUAAAGGGUGUGUAGGCGGGGCGGCAAGUCAGAGGUGAAAUCCUACAGCUCAACUGUAGAACUGCCUCUGAUACUGCUGUUCUUGAGUUUCGGAGAGGUCACUAGAAUUCGUGGUGUAGCGGUGAAAUGCGCAGAUAUCACGAGGAAUACCAGAGGCGUAGGCGGGUGACUGGACGAAUACUGACGCUGAGGCACGAAAGCGUGGGGAGCAAACAGGAUUAGAUACCCUGGUAGUCCACGCCCGUAAACGAUGGAUGCUCGGUGUCGCGCCUUUUUUGGCGCGUUGCCCAAGCUAACGCGUUAAGCAUCCCCACCUGGGAGUACGCUCGCAAGAGUG
Molecule: ribosomal RNA, 370 nt
Filed under: uncultured organism
Description: partial 16S ribosomal RNA
Rfam family: Bacterial small subunit ribosomal RNA
Source: RNAcentral